Molecule: non-coding RNA, 150 nt
Organism: Lupinus albus (white lupine)
Lineage: Eukaryota; Viridiplantae; Streptophyta; Magnoliopsida; Fabales; Fabaceae
Source: the annotation of a GenBank genome assembly
CGCCGCUACCGUAGCUGGUGGAAAUAGCUUAAUGGUAGAGCAUAGCCUUGCCAAGGCUGAGGUUGAGGGUUCAAGUCCCUCCUUCCGCUCUUGGCUUCGUCGUUUAGUGGUAACGAGUAGAGUAGGCAUCGCCUCUCGAUCCAAUCCGUC